CCUACGGGUGGCUGCAGUGGGGAAUAUUGCACAAUGGGCGCAAGCCUGAUGCAGCCAUGCCGCGUGUGUGAAGAAGGCCUUCGGGUUGUAAAGCACUUUCAGCGAGGAGGAAGGUGGUGAGCUUAAUACGCUCAUCAAUUGACGUUACUCGCAGAAGAAGCACCGGCUAACUCCGUGCCAGCAGCCGCGGUAAUACGGAGGGUGCAAGCGUUAAUCGGAAUUACUGGGCGUAAAGCGCACGCAGGCGGUUUGUUAAGUCAGAUGUGAAAUCCCCGGGCUCAACCUGGGAACUGCAUUUGAAACUGGCAAGCUAGAGUCUCGUAGAGGGGGGUAGAAUUCCAGGUGUAGCGGUGAAAUGCGUAGAGAUCUGGAGGAAUACCGGUGGCGAAGGCGGCCCCCUGGACGAAGACUGACGCUCAGGUGCGAAAGCGUGGGGAGCAAACAGGAUUAGAUACCCCAGUAGUC
RNAcentral lists this ribosomal RNA (465 nucleotides) under uncultured Serratia sp. RNAcentral's name for it is "bacterial SSU rRNA". It matches the Rfam family "Bacterial small subunit ribosomal RNA", at positions 338 to 795 of the family's 1533-position model. Lineage: Bacteria; Pseudomonadati; Pseudomonadota; Gammaproteobacteria; Enterobacterales; Yersiniaceae. The record is from RNAcentral.